This 276-nucleotide long non-coding RNA is filed under the name Elaeis guineensis (African oil palm). RNAcentral's name for it is "long non-coding RNA (EGUI_LNC014790)". Lineage: Eukaryota; Viridiplantae; Streptophyta; Magnoliopsida; Arecales; Arecaceae. The record is from RNAcentral.
GUGGUGGCAGAGGAUGAAGCGGUAGAGGAUUGCAAGGUGAGCAGUCUAGGUCCAAGUCGAGGGACUUCAGCAAAAUCAGAUGCUAUCGAUGUGAUGAGUUGGGACAUCAAGUCAGAGAUUGCCCAUAGCUUAGAGAUUGGACGAAGGCUACUAUGGUGGCAGUCCAAGAUAGCGAUACAGAAAAAAGUGAUGAUGUUCUUUUGGUGUCUAAUGAUGUAUCUACUUCUUUCUCAUAGUAGAUUUUAGAUUCUACAUGUUCGCAUCAUAUUUGUUGUA